Molecule: transfer RNA, 73 nt
Filed under: Myotis lucifugus (little brown bat)
Lineage: Eukaryota; Metazoa; Chordata; Mammalia; Chiroptera; Vespertilionidae
Rfam family: tRNA
About the family: Transfer RNA (tRNA) molecules are approximately 80 nucleotides in length. Their secondary structure includes four short double-helical elements and three loops (D, anti-codon, and T loops). Further hydrogen bonds mediate the characteristic L-shaped molecular structure. tRNAs have two regions of fundamental functional importance: the anti-codon, which is responsible for specific mRNA codon recognition, and the 3' end, to which the tRNAs corresponding amino acid is attached (by aminoacyl-tRNA synthetases). tRNAs cope with the degeneracy of the genetic code in two manners: having more than one tRNA (with a specific anti-codon) for a particular amino acid; and 'wobble' base-pairing, i.e. permitting non-standard base-pairing at the 3rd anti-codon position.
Source: Rfam by way of RNAcentral
GGUCUGGUAGCUCAGUUGGUUAGAGUGUUGUCCUGAUACAACAAGGUUGGGGGUUCGAUCCCCAGUCAGGGCA